GAUGAACGCUGGCGGCGUGCUUAACACAUGCAAGUCGAGCGAUGAAGUUUCCUUCGGGAAACGGAUUAGCGGCGGACGGGUGAGUAACACGUGGGUAACCUGCCUCAUAGAGUGGAAUAGCCUUCCGAAAGGAAGAUUAAUACCGCAUAAUGUUGAAAGAUGGCAUCAUCAUUUAACCAAAGGAGCAAUCCGCUAUGAGAUGGACCCGCGGCGCAUUAGCUAGUUGGUGGGGUAACGGCCUACCAAGGCGACGAUGCGUAGCCGACCUGAGAGGGUGAUCGGCCACAUUGGGACUGAGACACGGCCCAGACUCCUACGGGAGGCAGCAGUGGGGAAUAUUGCACAAUGGGGGAAACCCKGAUGCAGCAACGCCGCGUGAGUGAUGAAGGUUUUCGGAUCGUAAAGCUCUGUCUUUGGGGAAGAUAAUGACGGUACCCAAGGAG
RNAcentral lists this ribosomal RNA (443 nucleotides) under uncultured bacterium. Its description in RNAcentral is "bacterial SSU rRNA". It matches the Rfam family "Bacterial small subunit ribosomal RNA", at positions 28 to 486 of the family's 1533-position model. The record is from RNAcentral.